RNAcentral lists this ribosomal RNA (245 nucleotides) under uncultured bacterium. RNAcentral describes it as "partial 16S ribosomal RNA". It matches the Rfam family "Bacterial small subunit ribosomal RNA", at positions 524 to 768 of the family's 1533-position model. The record is from RNAcentral.
UACGUAGGAAGCAAGCGUUAUCCGGAUUUACUGGGCGUAAAGUGGGCGUAGGCGGCUCGCCAAGUCGGAUGUGAAAUCUCUUGGCUUAACCGGGAGGGGUCAUCCGAUACUAGCGGGCUAGAGUACAGCAGGGGGAGGUGGAAUUCCCGGUGUAGUGGUGAAAUGCGUAGAUAUCGGGAGGAACACCAGUGGCGAAGGCGGCCUCCCAGGCUGUUUCUGACGCUGAGGCCCGAAAGUGUGGGGAG